UACGUAGGGGGCUAGCGUUGUCCGGAUUUAUUGGGCGUAAAGAGCGUGUAGGCGGCCAUGUAGGUCCGGUGUGAAAACUCGAGGCUUAACCUCGAGAUGUCAUCGGAAACCAUUUGGCUAGAGUCCGGAAGAGGAGAGUGGAAUUCCUGGUGUAGCGGUGAAAUGCGCAGAUAUCAGGAAGAACACCAAUGGCGAAAGCAGCUCUCUGGGACGGUACUGACGCUGAGGAGCGAAAGCGUGGGGAGCGAACAGG
This 253-nucleotide ribosomal RNA is filed under the name uncultured bacterium. RNAcentral describes it as "partial 16S ribosomal RNA". It matches the Rfam family "Bacterial small subunit ribosomal RNA", at positions 524 to 776 of the family's 1533-position model. The record is from RNAcentral.